GCAUGGUAAUGGAUUUAUGGUGGGCCUUUCUCUGUGGGCCUCUCAUAGUGUACCCAUGCCAGAGUAAACUACAGCCUUGAACCAUUGCCCAGCCUCCUUGUCCAUGGGCUGUGAGCACUGAAGAAGGUUGCACAGUU
This 137-nucleotide small nucleolar RNA is filed under the name Sciurus vulgaris (Eurasian red squirrel). Its description in RNAcentral is "Small nucleolar RNA SNORA42/SNORA80 family (ENSSVLG00005000236.1)". It matches the Rfam family "Small nucleolar RNA SNORA42/SNORA80 family". From Rfam's summary of the family: The members of this family belong to the H/ACA class of snoRNAs that guide the sites of modification of uridines to pseudouridines. Human ACA42 (SNORA42) was cloned from HeLa cells by immunoprecipitation with anti-GAR1 antibody. Its is predicted to guide the pseudouridylation of residues U109 and U572 of 18S rRNA. The record is from Rfam by way of RNAcentral. Lineage: Eukaryota; Metazoa; Chordata; Mammalia; Rodentia; Sciuridae.